RNAcentral lists this ribosomal RNA (273 nucleotides) under Zepedanulus ishikawai. RNAcentral describes it as "partial 16S ribosomal RNA". Lineage: Eukaryota; Metazoa; Arthropoda; Arachnida; Opiliones; Epedanidae. The record is from RNAcentral.
UGACUGUACUAAGGUAGCAUAAUCAUUAGUUUUUUAAUUGGAGACUGGGAUGAAGGGUAGAAUUUGAGAAGAGCGUUUUAUUUAUUAAGUUUGAAUUUAAGUUAAAAGUAAGAAUGCUUUUAUGGACCUUUGGGACGAUAAGACCCUAGAAGUUUUAUACUAGAUUAACAAGUAUUUAGUUGGGGAGACUAGUGAAGAAAGAGAACUUUAUGGAUAGUAGUUAAGAGCUUAAGGAAUUACUCUAGGGAUAACAGCGUUAUUUGGUUUUUAAGU